RNAcentral lists this ribosomal RNA (253 nucleotides) under uncultured bacterium. RNAcentral describes it as "partial 16S ribosomal RNA". It matches the Rfam family "Bacterial small subunit ribosomal RNA", at positions 524 to 776 of the family's 1533-position model. The record is from RNAcentral.
UACGAAGGGGGCUAGCGUUGCUCGGAAUCACUGGGCGUAAAGGGUGCGUAGGCGGGUCUUUAAGUCAGGGGUGAAAUCCUGGAGCUCAACUCCAGAACUGCCUUUGAUACUGAAGAUCUUGAGUUCGGGAGAGGCGAGUGGAACUGCGAGUGUAGAGGUGAAAUUCGUAGAUAUUCGCAAGAACACCAGUGGCGAAGGCGGCUCACUGGCCCGAUACUGACGCUGAGGAGCGAAAGCAUGGGGAGCGAACAGG